GCUAAGCACUCCUACGGGGGCAGCAGUGGGGAAUAUUGCACAAUGGGCGCAAGCCUGAUGCAGCCAUGCCGCGUGUAUGAAGAAGGCCUUCGGGUUGUAAAGUACUUUCAGCAGUGAGGAAGGUGGGUAUGUUAAUAGCAUACUCAUUUGACGUUAGCUGCAGAAGAAGCACCGGCUAACUCCGUGCCAGCAGCCGCGGUAAUACGGAGGGUGCGAGCGUUAAUCGGAAUUACUGGGCGUAAAGCGCAUGCAGGUGGUUUGUUAAGUCAGAUGUGAAAAGCCCGGGGCUCAACCUCGGAAUUGCAUUUGAAACUGGCAAACUAGAGUACUGUAGAGGGGGUAGAAUUUCAGGUGUAGCGGUGAAAUGCGUAGAGAUCUGAAGGAAUACCGGUGGCGAAGGCGGCCCCCUGGACAGAUACUGACACUCAGAUGCGAAAGCGUGGGGAGCAAACAGGAUUAGAUACCCUGGUAG
RNAcentral lists this ribosomal RNA (472 nucleotides) under uncultured bacterium. Its description in RNAcentral is "bacterial SSU rRNA". It matches the Rfam family "Bacterial small subunit ribosomal RNA", at positions 328 to 793 of the family's 1533-position model. The record is from RNAcentral.